UACGGAGGGUGCAAGCGUUAUCCGGAUUCACUGGGUUUAAAGGGUGCGUAGGCGGAUUGGUAAGUCCGUGGUGAAAUCCCCGAGCUUAACUUGGGAACUGCCGUGGAUACUAUCAGUCUUGAAUACCGUGGAGGUAAGCGGAAUAUGUCAUGUAGCGGUGAAAUGCUUAGAUAUGACAUAGAACACCAAUUGCGUAGGCAGCUUACUACUCGAUCAUUGACGCUGAGGCACGAAAGCGUGGGGAGCAAACAGG
This 253-nucleotide ribosomal RNA is filed under the name uncultured bacterium. RNAcentral describes it as "partial 16S ribosomal RNA". It matches the Rfam family "Bacterial small subunit ribosomal RNA", at positions 524 to 776 of the family's 1533-position model. The record is from RNAcentral.